AUGAAUGUCCUAAGUUGGAAUUGUCGUGGUUUGGGUAACCCCGCGACAGUUUGUGAAGCCCGUGAACUCAGGGCAAAAUUUACCCCGGCGGUGCUAUGUCUUGUUGAAACCCAAAUAAGUAAAGCACGUGCUGAAAUUUUAGCUCAGUCGUUCGGUUUUGAUAGCUCUUUUGCGGUUGGGAGUACGGGGAGGAGUGGAGUCAUUGUAAUAUUCUGGAAUGAUUCAAUAAAUCUAGAAAUUGUCGGUUACUCGAGGUAUCAUACUGAUACAACUAUUGCUAACUUAGGUCCGACACCCUAG
Molecule: ribosomal RNA, 300 nt
Filed under: Triticum aestivum (bread wheat)
Lineage: Eukaryota; Viridiplantae; Streptophyta; Magnoliopsida; Poales; Poaceae
Description: partial small subunit ribosomal RNA
Source: RNAcentral